AUGGAUCAGCUUGACGAGCAAUCGUUCCUGGACGAGCUCAUGUCGCUGCGCCGGGAGGAGGCGCCGUCGCCGGCUCCGUGGCAGGCGUAUCCGGGCAGCGGCAUGAUGACGACGAGCGACCUCCUCUUCUACGGCGGCGAGGGCACCACCGAGGCGAGCAGCGGCAUGGACUUUGCCGGGCCGUUUCAGCAGCCCAUGGCGCCACCGCCGGCCACAUCUCCGCACCGGCCGCACGAGAAGUUCAACUUCGACUGCCUCAGCGAAGUAUGCAACCCUUACGGCAGCUGCGUCGGCGGCGUACCUAAGCCUGGGGUCGUCCACGCGGCUGGCCAGGCGUAUGCCCUCCAGGAUGCCAUGGCGCAGAACGGCACGAGUGGCGGCAAGCUGCAUCACGGUGGUGGCAGGUCGUCGUCGUCCCCGGCGCCGUUCGUGUUCGCAGGUGUCGCCGGGGAGAGCUCGGAGAUGACCAGGGGCGCCUUCUCCGGCGCCCACGCUAGAAGCAAGCUCAACGGUGGCACUACGUCCAAGAACCUCAUGGCGGAAAGGCGGCGCCGGAAGCGUCUCAACGACCGCCUCUCCAUGCUCCGCUCCAUCGUGCCCAAGAUUACCAAGAUGGAUAGGACCUCGAUCCUCGGGGACACCAUAGACUACGUGAAUGAGCUAACCGAGCGGAUCCAAACCCUCGAGGAGGAGAUCGGCGCCACGCCGGAGGAUCUGAACCUGCUGAACACCACGAAGAAUUUCUCCAGCGGUAGCAGUGAGGAGAUGCCGAUGAGGAAUUCCACCAAGUUUGUCAUCGAGAAGCAGGGCGACGGUGGAACGAGGAUCGACAUCUGCUGCGCCACAAGCCCCGGCGUGCUGAUCUCGACGGUGAGCGCGCUGGAGGUGUUGGGGCUGGAGAUCGAACAGUGCGUCGUCAGCUGCUUCGGCGACUUCGCCAUGCAGGCAUCCUGCUCACAAGAGGAAGGGAGGAGCCGUGUGACAAGAACCGACGAGAUCAAGCAGGCAUUGUUCACGAGUGCAGGCUAUGGAGGAAGGUGUCUGUAG
Molecule: ribosomal RNA, 1047 nt
Filed under: Triticum aestivum (bread wheat)
Lineage: Eukaryota; Viridiplantae; Streptophyta; Magnoliopsida; Poales; Poaceae
Description: partial small subunit ribosomal RNA
Source: RNAcentral